ACGCUAGCGGGAUGCCUUACACAUGCAAGUCGAACGGCAGCACGGACUUCGGUCUGGUGGCGAGUGGCGAACGGGUGAGUAAUGUAUCGGAACGUGCCCAGUAGCGGGGGAUAACUACGCGAAAGCGUAGCUAAUACCGCACACGCCCUUCGGGGGAAAGCAGGGAUCGUAAGACCUUGCACUAUUGGAGCGGCCCGAUAUCGGAUUAGCUAGUUGGUGAGGUAAUGGCUCACCAAGGCCGCGAUCCGUAGCUGGUUUGAGAGGACGACCAGCCACACUGGGACUGAGACACGGCCCAGACUCCUACGGGAGGCAGCAGUGGGGAAUUUUGGACAAUGGGGGAAACCCUGAUCCAGCCAUCCCGCGUGUGCGAUGAAGGCCUUCGGGUUGUAAAGCACUUUUGGCAGGAAAGAAACGGCGCGUGCUAAUACCAUGCGCAACUGACGGUACCUGCAGAAUAAGCACCGGCUAACUACGUGCCAGCAGCCGCGGUAAUACGUAGGGUGCAAGCGUUAAUCGGAAUUACUGGGCGCAAAGCGUGCGCAGGCGGUUCGGAAAGAAAGAUGUGAAAUCCCAGGGCUCAACCUUGGAACUGCAUUUUUAACUACCGGACUAGGGUAUGUCAGAGGGGGGUGGAAUUCCACGUGUAGCAGUGAAAUGCGUAGAUAUGUGGAGGAACACCGAUGGCGAAGGCAGCCUCCUGGGAUAAUACUGACGCUCAUGCACGAAAGCGUGGGGAGCAAAC
This 745-nucleotide ribosomal RNA is filed under the name uncultured bacterium. Its description in RNAcentral is "bacterial SSU rRNA". It matches the Rfam family "Bacterial small subunit ribosomal RNA", at positions 33 to 773 of the family's 1533-position model. The record is from RNAcentral.